GACCUAUUAGCUUAGUUGGUUAAAGUGUUGUACUAAUAAUACGAAAGUCACUGGUUUAAGACCUGCAUGGGUCA
Molecule: transfer RNA, 74 nt
Filed under: Glycine max (soybean)
Lineage: Eukaryota; Viridiplantae; Streptophyta; Magnoliopsida; Fabales; Fabaceae
Also listed under: 1 other name
Description: tRNA-Ile
Source: RNAcentral